Molecule: ribosomal RNA, 440 nt
Filed under: uncultured bacterium
Lineage: Bacteria
Description: partial 16S ribosomal RNA
Rfam family: Bacterial small subunit ribosomal RNA
Source: RNAcentral
CCUACGGGUGGCAGCAGUGGGGAAUAUUGCACAAUGGGGGAAACCCUGAUGCAGCGACGCCGCGUGAGGGAUGAAGUAUCUCGGUACGGAAAGCUCUAUCAGCAGGGAAGAAAAUGACGGUACCUGACCAAGAAGCCCCAGCUAACUACGUGACAGCAGCCGCGGACAUACGUAGGGGGCAAGCGUUAUCCGGAUUUAAUGGGGGUAAAGGGAGCGUAGACGGCAGCACAAGUCUGGAGUGAAAUCCCGGGGGUUAACCCCGGAACUGCGUUGGAAACUGUGCGGCUGGAGUGCAGGAGGGGUAAGCGGAAUUCCUAGUGUAGCGGUGAAAUGCGUAGAUAUUAGGAGGAACACCGGUGGCGAAGGCGGCUUACUGGACUGUAACUGACGUUGAGGCUCGAAAGCGUGGGGAGCAAACAGGAUUAGAUACCCCAGUAGUC